Molecule: ribosomal RNA, 455 nt
Filed under: uncultured Planctomycetota bacterium
Lineage: Bacteria; Pseudomonadati; Planctomycetota
Description: bacterial SSU rRNA
Rfam family: Bacterial small subunit ribosomal RNA
Source: RNAcentral
GAGUUUGAUCCUGGCUCAGCCUGAACGCUGGCGGCGUGGCUAAGACAUGCAAGUCGCACGGGUGUAGCAAUACACCAGUGGCGCACGGGUGAGUAAUGUAUCGCUAAUGUACCUUGGAGACGGGGAUAGCUGCCCGAAAGGGCAGGUAAUACCUGAUGAUAUAAUUCCGACGCCUGUCGGAAUUCUCAAAAGCAGCAAUGUGCUCUGGGAGCAGGCGAUAUCGUAUCAGCUAGUUGGUGAGGUAACGGCUCACCAAGGCGACGACGCGUAGCUGGUCUGAGAGGACGACCAGCCACAUCGGGACUGAGACACUGCCCGGACUCCUACGGGGGGCUGCAGUAACGAAUCUUCCGCAAUGCACGAAAGUGUGACGGAGCGACGCCGCGUGGAGGAGAAGUCCUUCGGGAUGUAAACUCCUGUCAGGGGAAAGAAAGUUCUGAUCUACCCCAGAGGAA